This 440-nucleotide ribosomal RNA is filed under the name uncultured bacterium. RNAcentral's name for it is "partial 16S ribosomal RNA". It matches the Rfam family "Bacterial small subunit ribosomal RNA", at positions 338 to 795 of the family's 1533-position model. The record is from RNAcentral.
CCUACGGGAGGCAGCAGUAGGGAAUAUUGCUCAAUGGGGGAAACCCUGAAGCAGCAACGCCGCGUGGAGGAUGAAGGUUUUCGGAUUGUAAACUCCUUUUGUUAGAGAAGAUAAUGACGGUAUCUAACGAAUAAGCACCGGCUAUCUCCGUGCCAGCAGCCGCGGUAAUACGGAGGGUGCAAGCGUUACUCGGAAUCACUGGGCGUAACGAGCGCGUAGGCGGGAUAGCAAGUCAGAGGUGAAAUCCUAUGGCUUAACCAGAGAACUGCAUUUGAAACUGUUAUUCUAGAGUUUGGGAGAGGUAGGAGGAAUUCGUGGUGUAGGGGUAAAAUCCAUAGAGAUCAAGAGGAAUACUCAUUGCGAAGGCGACCUGCUAGAACAUAACUGACGCUGAUGCACGAAAGCGUGGGGAGCAAACAGGAUUAGAUACCCGGGUAGUC